This 1364-nucleotide ribosomal RNA is filed under the name Staphylococcus aureus 1111000177. RNAcentral's name for it is "bacterial SSU rRNA". It matches the Rfam family "Bacterial small subunit ribosomal RNA", at positions 8 to 1353 of the family's 1533-position model. Lineage: Bacteria; Bacillati; Bacillota; Bacilli; Caryophanales; Staphylococcaceae. The record is from RNAcentral.
AGAGUUUGAUCCUGGCUCAGGAUGAACGCUGGCGGCGUGCCUAAUACAUGCAAGUCGAGCGAACGGACGAGAAGCUUGCUUCUCUGAUGUUAGCGGCGGACGGGUGAGUAACACGUGGAUAACCUACCUAUAAGACUGGGAUAACUUCGGGAAACCGGAGCUAAUACCGGAUAAUAUUUUGAACCGCAUGGUUCAAAAGUGAAAGACGGUCUUGCUGUCACUUAUAGAUGGAUCCGCGCUGCAUUAGCUAGUUGGUAAGGUAACGGCUUACCAAGGCAACGAUGCAUAGCCGACCUGAGAGGGUGAUCGGCCACACUGGAACUGAGACACGGUCCAGACUCCUACGGGAGGCAGCAGUAGGGAAUCUUCCGCAAUGGGCGAAAGCCUGACGGAGCAACGCCGCGUGAGUGAUGAAGGUCUUCGGAUCGUAAAACUCUGUUAUUAGGGAAGAACAUAUGUGUAAGUAACUGUGCACAUCUUGACGGUACCUAAUCAGAAAGCCACGGCUAACUACGUGCCAGCAGCCGCGGUAAUACGUAGGUGGCAAGCGUUAUCCGGAAUUAUUGGGCGUAAAGCGCGCGUAGGCGGUUUUUUAAGUCUGAUGUGAAAGCCCACGGCUCAACCGUGGAGGGUCAUUGGAAACUGGAAAACUUGAGUGCAGAAGAGGAAAGUGGAAUUCCAUGUGUAGCGGUGAAAUGCGCAGAGAUAUGGAGGAACACCAGUGGCGAAGGCGACUUUCUGGUCUGUAACUGACGCUGAUGUGCGAAAGCGUGGGGAUCAAACAGGAUUAGAUACCCUGGUAGUCCACGCCGUAAACGAUGAGUGCUAAGUGUUAGGGGGUUUCCGCCCCUUAGUGCUGCAGCUAACGCAUUAAGCACUCCGCCUGGGGAGUACGACCGCAAGGUUGAAACUCAAAGGAAUUGACGGGGACCCGCACAAGCGGUGGAGCAUGUGGUUUAAUUCGAAGCAACGCGAAGAACCUUACCAAAUCUUGACAUCCUUUGACAACUCUAGAGAUAGAGCCUUCCCCUUCGGGGGACAAAGUGACAGGUGGUGCAUGGUUGUCGUCAGCUCGUGUCGUGAGAUGUUGGGUUAAGUCCCGCAACGAGCGCAACCCUUAAGCUUAGUUGCCAUCAUUAAGUUGGGCACUCUAAGUUGACUGCCGGUGACAAACCGGAGGAAGGUGGGGAUGACGUCAAAUCAUCAUGCCCCUUAUGAUUUGGGCUACACACGUGCUACAAUGGACAAUACAAAGGGCAGCGAAACCGUGAGGUCAAGCAAAUCCCAUAAAGUUGUUCUCAGUUCGGAUUGUAGUCUGCAACUCGACUACAUGAAGCUGGAAUCGCUAGUAAUCGUAGAUCAGC